RNAcentral lists this ribosomal RNA (440 nucleotides) under uncultured bacterium. Its description in RNAcentral is "partial 16S ribosomal RNA". It matches the Rfam family "Bacterial small subunit ribosomal RNA", at positions 338 to 795 of the family's 1533-position model. The record is from RNAcentral.
CCUACGGGUGGCAGCAGUGAGGGAUAUUGCACAAUGGAGGGAACCCUGAUGCAGCGACGCCGCGUGAGUGAAGACGCGCCUCGGCGCGUACAGCCCUGUCAGCAGGGAAGAAAAUGACGGUACCUGAAGAAUAAGCCCCGGCUAACUCAGUGCCGGCCGCCGCGGUCAUACGUAGGGGGCGCGCGUUAUCCGGAUUUACUGGGUGUAUCGGGGGCGCAGACGGCGAUGCAAGCCAGGAGUGAACGCCCGGGGCCCAACCCCGGGACUGCUCUUGGAACUGCGUGGCGGGAGUGCAGUAGGGGCAGGCGGAAGUCCUGGUGUAGCGGUGAAAUGCGUAGAUAUCAGGAGGAACACCGGUGGCGAAGGCGGCCUGCUGGACUGCAACUGACGUUGAGGCCCGAAAGCGUGGGGAGCAAACAGGAUUAGAUACCCGUGUAGUC